RNAcentral lists this ribosomal RNA (465 nucleotides) under Vreelandella stevensii. RNAcentral's name for it is "partial 16S ribosomal RNA". It matches the Rfam family "Bacterial small subunit ribosomal RNA", at positions 338 to 795 of the family's 1533-position model. The record is from RNAcentral. Lineage: Bacteria; Pseudomonadati; Pseudomonadota; Gammaproteobacteria; Oceanospirillales; Halomonadaceae.
CCUACGGUCUGCAGCAGUGGGGAAUAUUGGACAAUGGGCGAAAGCCUGAUCCAGCCAUGCCGCGUGUGUGAAGAAGGCCUUCGGGUUGUAAAGCACUUUCAGUGGGGAAGAAAGCCUUGGGGCUAAUACCCUCGAGGAAGGACAUCACCCACAGAAGAAGCACCGGCUAACUCCGUGCCAGCAGCCGCGGUAAUACGGAGGGUGCGAGCGUUAAUCGGAAUUACUGGGCGUAAAGCGCGCGUAGGCGGUCUGAUAAGCCGGUUGUGAAAGCCCCGGGCUCAACCUGGGAACGGCAUCCGGAACUGUCAGGCUAGAGUGCAGGAGAGGAAGGUAGAAUUCCCGGUGUAGCGGUGAAAUGCGUAGAGAUCGGGAGGAAUACCAGUGGCGAAGGCGGCCUUCUGGACUGACACUGACGCUGAGGUGCGAAAGCGUGGGUAGCAAACAGGAUUAGAUACCCCAGUAGUC